GGAGGUAGUGACAAUAAAUCACAAUGCGGGACUAUCAGUCUUGCAAUUGGAUUGAGAACAAUGUACAACUCUUAUCGAUAAGCCAUUGGAGGGCAAGUCUGGUGCCAGCAGCCGCGGUAAUUCCAGCUCCAAUAGCGUAUAUUAACGUUGUUGCAGUUAAAAAGCUCGUAGUUGAAGUGUGGGUGGUGCCAUCUGUGAAGCUUCGGCUUCUAGGAUACUCACUACCCCCUUCCAGUAUCCAGUAGUGGGUAUUCAGUUACUUACUAUUGUGUGUUGGUCGUUUACUGUGAGAAAAUUAGAGUGUUCAAAGCAGGCGUUUGCUUGAAUAGAUUAGCAUGGAAUAAUAAUUGAAGGCUUUCGUGUUCGAUUUGAUUGGUUUGUUCAUGGAAGCAAGGUUAAAAGGAACAGUUGGGGGUAUUCAUAUUCACUAGUUAGAGGUGAAAUUCUCGGAUUUAUGGAAGAUGAACAAGUGCGAAAGCA
Molecule: ribosomal RNA, 480 nt
Filed under: Blastocystis sp.
Lineage: Eukaryota; Bigyra; Opalinata; Blastocystidae
Description: SSU rRNA
Rfam family: Eukaryotic small subunit ribosomal RNA
Source: RNAcentral